AAAAGGACAUGAAGCUGAGCAAGCAAUACAGAAUAGGGCAACAAGUCCUCAAACAGGGGGAAAUUUAAAGUCCAUGAAAGAGAAAUCCAAUCAGGCAGAAAAAGAAGUGCAGGAGGCUUCUGGAUUAAAGACUGCAGGUCCUGAAGGAGAAAUAACUGCAGGUUUUUUGUCAAAGAAAAGUGUAAAAAAAGAUGGAUGGAGCAAGCGAUGGUUUGUUUUGAAUGAGAAGACUGGGAAGCUUGGUUACACAAUAAAGCAAGAGGAGAGACAUUUUCGUGGUGUCAUCCCAUUGGAGGAAUGCAAUAUUGAAGAGGUUUCAGACGAGGAAGAGCCUCCCUUAAAGAGUUCAAAGGAUAAAAAGGCCAAUGGACCAGAUUCUAAAACACCCAGCCUUGUGUUCAAAAUAACUAGCAAGAUUCCCUAUAAAACCGUUUUGAAAGCCCACAGUGCUGUUGUUUUAAAGGCUGAGACUUUGGCUGAUAAGGUUGAAUGGAUAAACAAGAUAUCAAAAAUUGCACAACCUUCUAAAGGACAAAUUAGAAAUGCCUCUCCUGAAGGUGGUUCUACAUUGCGGCAGAGUCUUUCUGAUGGUUCUCUGGAUACGAUGGUUCGAAGGCCAGCAGACCCUGAAGAAGAGCUUCGGUGGAUGUCUCAAGAAGUGCGUGGUUA
RNAcentral lists this unclassified non-coding RNA (669 nucleotides) under Hevea brasiliensis (rubber tree). The record is from RNAcentral. Lineage: Eukaryota; Viridiplantae; Streptophyta; Magnoliopsida; Malpighiales; Euphorbiaceae.